GCUCUUCCCCCUUCCUCCAUCUAAUUCCUCCACCGUCCCCACCCGGAAAGAUGCUGAAUAAACACGCUUCUUACUAAAGGUGAAUUUCUAAAUUUUCACCAUGUUUAGGAGAAAAGAAAGUUGUGCAAGGGAGAAGGCAGUGGUGCUUAGGGACGUUUGUCGCUAUCCGGAGGUUUUGGUGAUUGUUACAGCUGGGGGUGGCAUCAAGUGGGUAGAGCCCAGGGCCAGGGCUCGACCUGCCACGAUGUACAGGGCAGCAUGCGCAACACAGAGCAUCCGGCCCCUCAUGUCCACAGUGCCCAGGACAGGAAGCCCGGAGGCAAGACGAACUGUGUGUGAGGGGACAGAGGACAUCUGGGAGUCAGAGUCAACCAUCAGUCCCUAAAUAAUGGUGUUGAAAUAACACUCUAACAUAAUAAUGCUAACACUGAAAUCCAUGAAACUCUGUAUUGACCACGGUUUAUUUGCCCUUUUGUCCUGGCUUGAGCCCUAAAGGUAGAGUAGCAGCUAAUGGGGAAUUUAGGAGGGCUGCAGCUUCCCAAAGGGUUGAAAAAUAGCCAACAGAGUCGGCCAUCAGAGGACUAGGUACCGGGCUUGCGGACUGUGGACAGAGGGUCACGGACCACAUGAGGGCUGUGGGCUGGGGUUGUGGGCAAGGCUGUGGGUUGGGCUCAGCCAUUGCUCAUGGGUUGGGUCAUGGAGGCCAGUCACUUUGCUCAGAGCUUUGUCUUCUGCCCCUGCCCCCAUUCUCCCAAGACCAUCUUAGUGGUAGUACUCACGGCCUUCUUAGCUUACAAAUCUCACAACCUUGGACUCCCUUUUGGUUUGCCCUGCAUUCCCUGUCCGUUCGUAGUUUUCACAGAGUGCUGUCCAUUCUCCCGCUAUAGAGUGGCACCCUUCCUCCAGCCCGGGGCCCAGCACAGUGCCACCACGGUGCUGCCUGCUGCCUGCUGCCGGGUUUUGUGACAAUCCAGCUGCCCACCAGACCCAGCUCUCCCAGCUCUCAGUAUAGACAUCACAUCAGUAUAGACAUCAGCCUGGUGUCUGAAAGCUGAUUUUGUGCCAGAUGAACUUGCUGGAGUGGUCCACUUGCGCUCUGCUAGGACCCUGCUGGAAACGGACAUGGACCGUGUGAACCCAGAUGGCGAACGAUGGUCCCUGGCCUGGAGAAGCUCCUGGGAGGUGAUGGGAUGAGGAAAUUGAGGCCUGGGAAGGCACUGUGGACAUCCAAGAUCACAGGCCAUGGUGGAGUCAGUAUUUAUAUCCAGGCUGCCUGAACUCAAGGCCAGAGCCUCUAUUUCUCCAGCGGGCCGAGGGAAGAAAUGUUUAAAAUCAACUCGAGUCCAAAAUUUGUCAACAUAGCGUCUGACAGGGCUCCUGGUGAUUCUGAGUCAGAGUCCUGAGCAAUGGAACUGGGGGCUGAAAGCGAUGGUCCCAGGGACACCACCCCAACUCUGGACAAGGCCACUCUUUCUGUCAGCCUACAGGCCUCAUAGUGAGUGAGGGAGAAGCUGGCUCAGCGUCCCGCCCCUGUGACUAAGUGAGCUGUGCCACUGCAUGACUGUGUGACCAUAGCCUGCCCCUUCCUCUUGUCCUGGUGACAGAAUGAUCAUUUAUGAACCAUUACCGCAUUUAAUCCUCAAACUCUGGUGAUUCUGGUCCUCAUCAGAUAGGCCUGGAGGCAGAAGCAGCAAGAGGCAGGUGCUGCUAAGGGGAGGAACCUAGGCCACAAGCAGGUAGAGCCAGUUCCAGAACCAAGUCUGAUUACAUGGGGUACCUGUACCCAACCCUUGGGCCUCAGGGAUGAGGGCCAGUUCCAGGGGCUCAGCCCUCAGUGCCAGGACCAUGCCUCUGUCCCAUGCGUGACUCCUGGCCAGGCAGGCAGGAUGAGAAGACGCAGGAAAGCCUUGGCCACCCAGAGGGCAGGGGGCUCUGUCUUCCCUAUCAGACUGGGGGCUCCCUAAGUUCAGGGACUAGUCUCUGCAAAUAAAUGAUAGAUUCUCUUA
Long non-coding RNA from Lutra lutra (Eurasian river otter), 2006 nucleotides. RefSeq lists it as uncharacterized. NCBI's taxonomy places the organism in Eukaryota, Metazoa, Chordata, Mammalia, Carnivora, Mustelidae. The transcript is spliced from 5 exons. The record is from RefSeq and is a predicted model, not a curated record.